RNAcentral lists this long non-coding RNA (4715 nucleotides) under Sus scrofa (pig). RNAcentral's name for it is "lncRNA (ENSSSCG00060073237.1)". Lineage: Eukaryota; Metazoa; Chordata; Mammalia; Artiodactyla; Suidae. The record is from RNAcentral.
UGCAACUGACUGCCAAAAACCAUUCCUCUCCAUUGUGUCCAUAAAUAGUGGCAGUUCCUUUUUCUGGACCCCCACACCAGCUGUCACACUCGAUUUCUAUGAGAUUUUCUAUACAUACUUCCCCAAUAACUUGAAUUGCCUGAGAAUGAUUUAAAAUCCUUUGUGUUGAAGGUGUCCCAAAGAAAACUCCCCCCACCCCAGUCACUCUCUGGUGUUGUGUGUGUGUGUUGUGUGUAACGAAAAUUAUUAGCUUACUUUCCAUGAGGUGAACUGAGGGAAAAGGAGACAAAGAGAGUGUGACACACUGGGAUACCUCCAGUCUGAGGGUCUCCCGCCCGUCACACGCUUUCAUAAUGAGUAUCCUGCAUAUGACCAUGAGUUAUCAUGACUGUGACCUGCCUCAGGAGGUCCCAUGCCACAUCUGUAUUAACAACUGCAUCUGCUUCAGGGUAACCUUAUUAGCUUGCCACAGCUGAGCCAGGGGCCUCAGGAGGUAUUAGACCAAGUCCCCAGGGAGGCCUGGUACUUCUGCUCUCCCUAAAUUCAAGUUGGUGCCCCCAAUUUAACAUCAGGACCUGCUGAAUUUUAUUGUGAAUUAUCAGCUAUCAUAACUCUUAGCAGAAAACACCACACACACUCACACCACACACACUUACACACACUCCCCUCAAAAUUGGCAACCUCCCCAAAUGCCAUCUCUAAUUCCCAUUAUGGCAUAUGGCUUGUUUGUUUCAUAUGAAAAGCAAUGGAAAUAUCAAAAGAAUUUUCACCUUGGUUUCUGUUUUUCUUCUCCCUGGGGGAGUGUGCAGAGUGCUAUACUAAAAACAUAAAAUGCAAAGAACAUACAUGCAUGAACUUAUCUAUGGAAAUUUUACUUCCAGACCUGACAAUGCGAGCAGUAAAUACACUCCCUGUGAAUGGAGUGGUGUUAUAAGGGAAUCUGGUGGGGUGUGUGUAUGUGUGUGUCUGUGUGGGGUGUGCAUAUAUGCAAGUGGGUCAUGUGCAAAAGAACCUAGCUUUUCUAACUAAAUUCUUUAAAAAGCUCAUCAUCACUUGCUUCAAAUUAAUCAGGUAGUAUGGAACUUAGCAAACUAUAUGCCACCCAUUCACACAUUCAUUCAUUCACCCUUUGGACAGUAGAAGUGACAGAGAAGCAUUAAUUCACCUGGGAACAUAUCUAGGUCAACAUUCUAAGGGAUAUUCCCAUAGUGCACUGGUGACUGCUCAUAAAAGGUAUUUUCCCUACUCUUCUCUGAUGGGUGAAAGCUUACUCACUUUCCUUUUCAUGAGUUCCACAUUUAAUGUUGCCCUGCCAGCAAAGAUGGACAGAAUGACACACCGCUACAAUAACCCAUUCAUGGCUAAUUCAGAUCAUGUCUAAUGAAACUCCACCUUGAACCACAAGAGUGUUCCUGGGAGUGUUCACCUCCCAUCGCUAAGCCACCCAGAGUAUUUCCUUGAGCAUUUCCUGAUGUGGGUGCAGAAAAAUAACUGCUUUCCUUUCGCUAAUUUUAUGCUAUUUUUCAGCUGUCAUUUGUAGCUCACACUGAGAUUAGCAUUUUACAUGGGUUGCCUCACUUCACCCUCCGGUAUAACACAGUUAUGUCAUUACCCUGGUUUUACAGUGAGGAGACCAAACACGGCUGGGGAACAUGUUCAAAGAAAGACACAGAUCAGGCAGGUCCUUGGCCUUCUUACCAAGUGUCAUUCAAUUGACCUUGAUAUGGAAUUUCCACAUUGCAUGUGUUAAUAUGGCCUCCACUUUCACACCUUUCAUUCUUUCCAGCCCCUAUUAAGGCUCGCAGUUUCUUUUUUCUCACAAGUAUUUCCUAUGUGGACCAGACUGCCCUGAAUUUUACCCUGACCCGCUGAAUCCAUGCACACCUAACUUGAAUCCACAGGCAUGACAGCAAUUCAUCCUCGAUUUUCCAACCCUAACAUAUCCACUUAAUUCUAUGGCUUCCCUUUUGUCAUCUCUCCUCUGUAGAAGGCACCCUUAACCCAUUUCCUCCUUUAGACCAUAUCCUCAGCGAGUAAUUGGAGGAAACUUAAAAUAUGAUACCGUGGUGAUGGUUAGUUUUUUCUUUCUCCCCUACCCUCAGGAUAUGCCUGGAUUCCGGGGUUAUCCAAACUUGGAACAACACAGCAAAUAAAAAAUGUACUGUGAAGGAAAUAAAAGGAAAAUUGUGUAAGACACUGUUGAGCUCACUUUGUGGACUCUGCCCCACCCGGCCAAGUGAGCAUGGCUUAAUUGAUAAUGAUCAGCUUCUCAGUUACCUUUCACCAUUUUCUUGUAACCGUAUCCUGAAGCAUCGAAAGCAGCGACACCUCACAUUGCAGUGCAAAGAGGGCCCUUGUGAGCAGGGGUGACCUGGCCAACCGCUCUCCAUGCUCAGGCCUGUGACCCCUCAGCCAGGCUUCCUCUGCGUUUUACAUUCUUGCUCAUGUCCCAGGUCCUUACACAGUGACUCGCUUGCUACCUCCUUCUUUCAUUUUUCUGUUUGGCGUUUUCAUCUCUUCUUGUCUCAUGUCCUUUCCUUUCCCCUUCUCAUGCCGGUGUUUUUCAGUCUCCUGUGUGGUUUUAGGGAGCUUCUCUUUCCGUCCUUCAGUGGAUACAUACAGAGCGGUGUUUCCUUUCCCCUGCAGAUCCCUUCCCUAACAAUCAAAGACUAAAGGGAGAGAAAAACAAUUCCUAUUUUUGUUUUGAAUAAUCGGUCAUUUUUCUCAUCAUGGCCAGUUUGCGAAAUGGAGAAAAGCCUAAAGGAAACCUAAUGACUGACAGCCCCAAAUCUUGAGAGUCAAGUGAUAACACUGUGGUAUAUAUUCUUCACGUUUUUCUUCCUCCGCCUUUUAUUUAUACAAAUAUAUACACACGUGCACAUAUACUUUAAACAUGAAUGUGAUCUUACUAUAUGAGAUAAUAUUUUAAGUGCUUUCUGCUUUUUAAAUAUUUUUAUGGAAUGCACAUAGUCCCAUGUCAUUAGGUAUUCUUCAAAUAUAUCCAAUAUAUAAUUAACAUUUAUGGAAUGUUUAUUGGUCAGUACUGUUCUUUUUUUUUUUUUUUUUUUUUUUUUUUUUGUCUUUUUGUCUUUUGUUGUUGUUGUUGCUAUUUCUUGGGCCGCUCCCGCGGGAUAUGGAGGUUCCCAGGCUAGGAGUUGAAUCGGAGCUGUAGCCACCGGCCUACGCCAGAGCUACAGCAACACGGGAUCCGAGCCGCGUCUGCAACCUACACCACAGCUCACGGCAACGCCGGAUCGUUAACCCACUGAGCAAGGGCAGGGACCGAACCCGCAACCUCAUGGUUCCUAGUCGGAUUCGUUAACCACUGCGCCACGACGGGAACUCCUCAGUACUGUUCUAACGAACUACAUGAAAUCAUUUAACCAAGCUACAACUCAAUGAGAUAGGUACUGCUGUUAUCCCCAUUUUAUAUUUGAGGGAACUGAGAUACUAAAAGACUAAGUAAUUUACCCAAGGUCGCAAAGCUAACAGUUGGCAAGAUUUGGCUGGAGUGGUUUGAGGUGCAGAGAUUGUGUUCUAAACCACUGAGAUGCACUGACUCUGUAUUUACCACAGUGGUUACAAGAUAGGCCUUCCAGUAAUUGCACUCAUCUUUAUUGAAGCAAUGCUCUUGGACUUCAGCAUAGUCUGAGCUGGUUGUUUUGAAUUGUUACAGAUACGUUAUGCUUCUAAACAACCCUGUAAGGAAAGGAACAUACUCCUCCAUACAACUGUAUUUUUUUUUUUUAAUCUCUAAUCAGGAUAAAUUCUGAUGAGUAAAAAUUAUGAGAACACUCUUAAAGCCCUUCAAAUGAAUUUUUAGAUUUCUGGUCAGAAAAGUUGUCCCGAUACUCAUCUCCCUCGGUGUGUGGGAAGACCGAUGUCUUCAUGCCCUGGACCACCUUGAAUAAUUAAUGAACUUAAAAAAAAAAGCCUUUUUUUUUAGGGCCACAUCUGCGGCAUAUGGAAGUUCCCAGGCUAGGGGUCCAAUUGGAGCUGCAGCUGCCAGCCUAUGCCACAGCCACAGCAAUGCCAGAUCUGAGCUGCAUCUGCAACCUACACCACAGCUCAUGGCAACGCCAGAUCCUUAACCCACUGAGCGAAGCCAGGGAUCGAACCCAAAACCUCAUGGUUCCUAGUCAGAUUCAUUUCCACUAUGCCAUGACAGGAACUCUCUGUUUAUCUUUUUAAUGGAGUUUAAUAUACAUACAUUUAAAAUUCUUGACUAUUUUAAGAAUGAAUCAUGUACAUUUAAAAUUGUGUGAUAUGUGAGGAACACUACCUGCCUUUGCAAAUUACAACAAUCAACAGAUGAAGAAAGUAUUCUUACCUGAAAUAUGGAUAUAGACAUGUCAAAAUAUAAGUCAAGACCCAAAUGGAUUAUGCCAGGUCCAGUCUUUCCACUUAACUUUUUAAAUACUUCUUAAAUACCUCCUAUUUAUGUGUAUAUGUAUCUGUGUGAAUUUUGCAUCUCUGCUCUCUUGAAGUGAACAAGCACAAGGAACUGUUUCUUCUUAAGGAGAGAACAUUGACCUAUAGAUGAUUAUACAGUAAAUUCCCAGAACAAAUGCACAUACGAAGAGGAAGUGCAUCCUGGAGAGAUCACAGGACGAGUUGUUGAUGGGAGGUGCACUGUCAGUCUAGCUCUGCCAUUCUAACCAGAAGAGUCUAUCUCACCUUAUUUUUUACAGAGAGUUUUUAUAUGGGACAAUCUC